This 401-nucleotide ribosomal RNA is filed under the name Candidatus Williamhamiltonella defendens. RNAcentral's name for it is "bacterial SSU rRNA". It matches the Rfam family "Bacterial small subunit ribosomal RNA", at positions 975 to 1375 of the family's 1533-position model. The record is from RNAcentral. Lineage: Bacteria; Pseudomonadati; Pseudomonadota; Gammaproteobacteria; Enterobacterales; Enterobacteriaceae.
CUACUCUUGACAUCUACGGAAUUGUGCAGAGAUGCGCAAGUGCCUUCGGGAACCGUGAGACAGGUGCUGCAUGGCUGUCGUCAGCCCGUGUUGUGAAAUGUUGGGUUAAGUCCCGCAACGAGCGCAACCCUUGUCCUUUGUUGCCAGCGCGUAGAGGCGGGAACUCAAAGGAGACUGCCGGUGAUAAACCGGAGGAAGGUGGGGACGACGUCAAGUCAUCAUGGCCCUUACGAGUAGGGCUACACACGUGCUACAAUGGCGUAUACAAAGGGAUGCGAACCUGCGAGGGAAAGCGGAACUCAGAAAGUACGUCGUAGUCCGGAUUGGAGUCUGCAACUCGACUCCAUGAAGUCGGAAUCGCUAGUAAUCGUAGAUCAGAAUGCUACGGUGAAUACGUUCCC